UACGUAGGUGGCAAGCGUUGUCCGGAUUUACUGGGCGCAAAGAGCGCGCAGGCGGUCGUUCAAGUCGCGUGUGAAAGCCCCCGGCUCAACUGGGGAGGGUCACGCGAUACUGAUCGACUGGAAGGCAGGAGAGGGUAGUGGAAUUCCCGGUGUAGUGGUGAAAUGCGUAGAUAUCGGGAGGAACACCAGUGGCGAAGGCGACUACCUGGCCUGUUCUUGACGCUGAGGCGCGAAAGCUAGGGGAGCAAACGGG
RNAcentral lists this ribosomal RNA (253 nucleotides) under uncultured bacterium. RNAcentral's name for it is "partial 16S ribosomal RNA". It matches the Rfam family "Bacterial small subunit ribosomal RNA", at positions 524 to 776 of the family's 1533-position model. The record is from RNAcentral.